RNAcentral lists this ribosomal RNA (1820 nucleotides) under Capnobotryella sp. MA 4899. Its description in RNAcentral is "bacterial SSU rRNA". It matches the Rfam family "Eukaryotic small subunit ribosomal RNA", at positions 305 to 1824 of the family's 1831-position model. Lineage: Eukaryota; Fungi; Ascomycota; Dothideomycetes; Mycosphaerellales; Teratosphaeriaceae. The record is from RNAcentral.
UUCUGCCCUAUCAACUUUCGAUGGUAGGAUAGUGGCCUACCAUGGUUUCAACGGGUAACGGGGAAUUAGGGUUCGACUCCGGAGAGGGAGCCUGAGAAACGGCUACCACAUCCAAGGAAGGCAGCAGGCGCGCAAAUUACCCAAUCCCGACACGGGGAGGUAGUGACAAUAAAUACUGAUCCAGGGCUCUUUCGGGUCUUGGAAUUGGAAUGAGUACAAUUUAAAUCCCUUAACGAGGAACAAUUGGAGGGCAAGUCUGGUGCCAGCAGCCGCGGUAAUUCCAGCUCCAAUAGCGUAUAUUAAAGUUGUUGCAGUUAAAAAGCUCGUAGUUGAACCUUGGGCCUGGCUGGCCGGUCCGCCUCACCGCGUGUACUGGUCCGGCCGGGCCUUUCCUUCUGGGGAACCGCAUGGCCUUCACUGGCCGUGUCGGGGAACCAGGACUUUUACUUUGAAAAAAUUAGAGUGUUCAAAGCAGGCCUUUGCUCGGAUACAUUAGCAUGGAAUAAUAGAAUAGGACGCGUGGUUCUAUUUUGUUGGUUUCUAGGACCGCCGUAAUGAUUAAUAGGGAUAGUCGGGGGCAUCAGUAUUCAAUUGUCAGAGGUGAAAUUCUUGGAUUUAUUGAAGACUAACUACUGCGAAAGCAUUUGCCAAGGAUGUUUUCAUUAAUCAGUGAACGAAAGUUAGGGGAUCGAAGACGAUCGUUAACCGCAUACACGCUGUUGUAUCUGGUCGUCCGCAGCGCCGUACAGCGCUGGUCAACCGAAUAUCGGUUGGCAACACCUUUAAACUGCGGGGACUCCCAGCAAACGGUGGCUACCAAGCGAGCGCGGAAACGCGGUCUCGCGGCCAGAAGGCACAUCGCCUCUGGGUAAGGUUACAAAGCCGCCGUAGUGGGUAACCCGCAGCCAAGUCCGCAGUCCCGGGGGGCGACCCGGACUUGGUCCACAGACUAGACAUUGGUGGGCCAGGCUCUCGCAGCCGGCUUAAGAUAUAGUCGAAUUUCGAACGACAGUUCGAUUGGGUAAUGCAGAUACCGUCGUAGUCUUAACCAUAAACUAUGCCGACUAGGGAUCGGUGGGAUGUUACUAUUUUGACUCCAUCGGCACCUUACGAGAAAUCAAAGUUUUUGGGUUCUGGGGGGAGUAUGGUCGCAAGGCUGAAACUUAAAGAAAUUGACGGAAGGGCACCACCAGGCGUAAACCAAACCGCAGUCAACUCUGCGCCGCAUAGCGGCCCUCCGGUCCCGGGGGGUGGUGGUGACCCGUAUUAAUCGCUAGUCGCCUUCGACGAGUUUCGGAGGCGGCCACAUACCCAAAUUGCGGGAAGUAUCCUUGAGAUUGACGUUCCACCAAGCCGACGUGUCGGCGGCCGGUGUUAACACAUCCGGGUAAGGUCAGAGCGAGCGUUCAAUAGGAUCAUCCGCAGCCAACGUGCGAAAGGCUUUCGCACGCGGUUCAGAGACUAAACGGGUGUGGGUCGCCGCACGCGCGCUACACUGACAGAGCCAACGAGUUCAUCACCUUGGCCGGAAGGUCUGGGUAAUCUUGUUAAACUCUGUCGUGCUGGGGAUAGGGCCUUGCAAUUAUUGCCCUUCAACGAGGAAUGCCUAGUAAGCGCAUGUCAUCAGCAUGCGUUGAUUACGUCCCUGCCCUUUGUACACACCGCCCGUCGCUACUACCGAUUGAAUGGCUCAGUGAGGCCUUCGGACUGGCUCAGGGAGGUCGGCAACGACCAACCCAGAGCCGGAAAGUUGGUCAAACUCGGUCAUUUAGAGGAAGUAAAAGUCGUAACAAGGUCUCCGUAGGUGAACCUGCGGAGGG